ACUGGAAACACCCUCCGAGAGUUGAUUGCCACACACUUGGAUAUCAAUGCUUUCUUGUUGUGCAUUCAUUAUUCAACCAAAAAGAGAAAAAAAAUAACAACCAAAUCGUAUAAUUAUGCUUUAUAAAAUACUGGACCUGUUAAGCAGAAUGGUAUGAAAAAUACUGGAAACAGCCUCCCUGAGUUGAUUGCCAAACACUUGGAUAUCAAUGCUUUCUUGUUGUGCAUUCAUUAUUCAACCAAAAAGAG
This is a long non-coding RNA of Nilaparvata lugens (brown planthopper), 248 nucleotides long. RefSeq lists it as uncharacterized. The record is from RefSeq and is a predicted model, not a curated record. NCBI's taxonomy places the organism in Eukaryota, Metazoa, Arthropoda, Insecta, Hemiptera, Delphacidae. The transcript has 2 exons.